This 705-nucleotide long non-coding RNA is filed under the name Equus caballus (horse). RNAcentral describes it as "lncRNA (ENSECAG00000053657.1)". The record is from RNAcentral. Lineage: Eukaryota; Metazoa; Chordata; Mammalia; Perissodactyla; Equidae.
CUGAAGGCUCACAGAGGGUAACAGACUUUCCCCAGGACAUGCAGCUGGUAGGUGGUGGACCCCAGGCUCCCGAUUUCAGAGCUUUGGCAGCUGCUUGAACAACCAAAUCCUAAUUAUGACAUGGUAACUCAUCUAAAUCUGAAGAUAAUCAGAGGAGCCAUAGAUGUAACAAGUGACUGGGGCAGGUACACCAAGCCCAGUUUGCUGUCACUUCUGAUGAGGUGAAUGAAGAGAUGGCAAAAGGCCACUCAGAGAAACCAAAGUGAAGGGAUUGGCCAUGUUGAACGCUAGAGGUAUCACACCAACUCAUCUCGUCCCCAAGAGAAUCACCAAGAGAAAAUCAGAUCAGCAAAGAAGGAUGCCACUCCUUGGCAUUUACACAAAGGAGUUGAAAACUUAUGUCCACACAAAAACCUACACAUGGAUGCUUAUAGCAGAUUCAUUCAUAAUUGAGAAAACAUGGAAGCAACCAAGAUGCCCUGCAGCAGAGAACACUUCUCUCCAGCAGACCUUGCAGAGGGCCAUCCAAACACCAGACAUCCUGCUAGCAGCACUCAUUAGCUAAAGAGACCUCAAAAAGGUACCACCUGUGGAGUUGUCAGAGCUUUCAUCCCAAGCCCUAAGUGCUGGGCUUGUUGAACAUCAGUGUGUUCAGCAUAAUUUCAUGAUUGGCAGCCUUCUCCAACAUAAUACACUACAUCUUCC